CGGGUAAUGCCGGGCACUCUGGAAGGACUGCCAUCGACAGAGUGAGGAAGUGGGGAUGACGUCAAGUCAUCAUGGCCCUUAUGUCCAGGCGACACACGUGCUACAAUGGCCGGCACAACGGGAAGCGAGUUCGCGAGGACAAGCGGAUCCCUUAAAGCCGGUCGCAGUUCGGAUUGAAGUCUGCAACUCGACUUCAUGAAGCUGGAAUCGCUAGUAAUCGUGGAUCAGCCAAGCCGCGGUGAAUACGUUCCCGGGCCUU
This 259-nucleotide ribosomal RNA is filed under the name uncultured Synergistaceae bacterium. RNAcentral describes it as "partial 16S ribosomal RNA". It matches the Rfam family "Bacterial small subunit ribosomal RNA", at positions 1122 to 1382 of the family's 1533-position model. Lineage: Bacteria; Thermotogati; Synergistota; Synergistia; Synergistales; Synergistaceae. The record is from RNAcentral.